RNAcentral lists this ribosomal RNA (390 nucleotides) under Metaphire trutina. RNAcentral describes it as "partial 12S ribosomal RNA". Lineage: Eukaryota; Metazoa; Annelida; Clitellata; Crassiclitellata; Megascolecidae. The record is from RNAcentral.
UCACGAUAUAAAUAAUAGUUAAAUAUUACGAACUAUAGUUUAAAAUCUAAAGAUUUUGGCGGUGUCUUAUAAAACCAGGGGAACCUGUCUCAUAACUCGAUAAUCCACGCAUAUUCAACCUUCUCUAGACAUACAGCAUGUGUACUGCCGUUGUAAGUGUACCUUUAAAAGAAUAAGUAUACUGCUAUGGUUAAUAACCAACCCAUUCACAUCAGGUCAAAGUGCAGCUAAUAAGAAGGUGACGAUGGGUUACAACCCCUAAAUAGAUUAUCAACCAAGAAAUAAAAAAUCUUAUGAAAGUGGACUUGGCCGUAAUCAAUUUAUAAACCUAAAAAAAUGAAUAUUCCUCUAAGACAUGUACACAUCGCCCGUCACUCUAUCCUAAAGGUU